CACUAGCUGGUAGAGCCGUUUGAUUGC
Molecule: small RNA, 27 nt
Filed under: Bombyx mori (domestic silkworm)
Lineage: Eukaryota; Metazoa; Arthropoda; Insecta; Lepidoptera; Bombycidae
Description: ovarian small RNA-4679
Source: RNAcentral